Molecule: long non-coding RNA, 561 nt
Filed under: Rattus norvegicus (Norway rat)
Lineage: Eukaryota; Metazoa; Chordata; Mammalia; Rodentia; Muridae
Description: long non-coding RNA NONRATT025556
Source: RNAcentral
CCCUUAUGAAGAACACCUGGGUCAGCAUCCUGAGGCGUGAGGCUGGUUCACAGCUGGGGCUGGACUCCUGGCCUGGCUCCCAGUAAGCACACAUCCCUCCCCACUGAGGUGCUAGGCCUAACCCAGGAUAGGGUGUAAACAGCUGACAGGAACUCUGAGCGGGUCCAGUGGUGAGGGGGCUGGCCCUGCACUCUAACAAAGGUCAAAGUGCACAGGCUCCACCCCUAGCAGGAAGCAGAGGAAGCAACAAGCACCUGCACACAGCUCCUUGCAGGGUCUUUCAGGGGUCACACACCUCAGUGCCUGCACGGUGAUCUGUACCAGGACCUGACUCGUGAGCCGCUGUCUGAGGCCAGGACCCUGGGAAGGCACUGCUGGCUAGGAGCCCAUGCAUGGAUGUAUGUAUUCAGGGCUGUACUUUUUCUUUUCUUGUUUUUCUGGCUGUCCUGGAACUCACUCUGUAGACCAAGCCGGCCUCCAACUCAGAGAUCUGUCUGGCCUACCUCUGCCUCCAAUUGCUGGAAUUAAAGACAUGGCCACAAUGGCUGGCUCCAAGGUUGC